UGAGCGACCUACCUAAUUGUGGGGGAUAGCCGGCCCAACGGCCGGGUAAUACCGCAUACGAUCGGAGAGGGGCAUCCCUUUCUGAGGAAAGCCUUCGGGCGCAAUUUGAGGGGCUCGCGGCCUAUCAGCUAGUUGGCGGGGUAACGGCCCACCAAGGCGACGACGGGUAGCUGGU
Molecule: ribosomal RNA, 175 nt
Filed under: uncultured bacterium
Lineage: Bacteria
Description: partial 16S ribosomal RNA
Rfam family: Bacterial small subunit ribosomal RNA
Source: RNAcentral